CGAGACACACUGUACUCAAACAAACAUCUUACUGGCAUUAGCUCUUACCCAUCACCCAUGGCGAAGUGCCAGAAGCACGUGAGCAUCCAAGGACUUUGGCUGCUUUCCAUGGUUCUUCUUGCAUCCUCUGUUGUUGGUGCACGCAUAAUAAAUGGUAAACAAUGAAUUAUACCUAUUUUCUUUUGAUGUAAAUAUAUACUAUAUAGCGUUCAUCUUUUCUGACAAAAGUGCAAUGUAACUCGAUCGAUUGUAGGGCAAACCAAAGAGGACAUCAACACAAAGAGUGUGAACAUAAACACAACGAAGUCAGCAAGCUACAUUGGCAGCGGUGGAGUACUUAAUCAAGGUCCAUGCGUUGUGAAAAAUCAUUUCUUCUGGUGCGGAAACAUUGGCUAUCCGACAAUGUCAGAGUGCUUGAGGAAUUGCCGCCAUUUGAUCUAAUAAGUGGUUUACUUUUCUGCUUCUCAUAGAUGGAGAUCAUGAAGAUGUUAAUCUAAUCAUGCAUACAAAUAUGUACCAAAUGAUAAACUAUAAUAAACUAAUUUAUGCGUGAUUAAGGGUUUCUUCUCCUACGUACAACUAAAAAGAGUAAAAGUAAAAGGUGGACAUUUUUUGGUGCAGCAAAUUUUUUCGUCCGUGUGCCGUUCCCCACCUGCGAACGCGACCC
This 667-nucleotide long non-coding RNA is filed under the name Sorghum bicolor (sorghum). RNAcentral describes it as "long non-coding RNA (SBIC_LNC011623)". The record is from RNAcentral. Lineage: Eukaryota; Viridiplantae; Streptophyta; Magnoliopsida; Poales; Poaceae.